AGGGUUGUAGCUCAGCUGUAGAGCAUCAACUUUGCAUGCACAGAGUCCCAGGUUUGAUCCCUGGUAUCUCCA
Non-coding RNA from Podarcis lilfordi (Lilford's wall lizard), 72 nucleotides. The record is from the annotation of a GenBank genome assembly. NCBI's taxonomy places the organism in Eukaryota, Metazoa, Chordata, Lepidosauria, Squamata, Lacertidae.